UNGACCGCCUGAAAGACUGCCUACAGG
This 27-nucleotide non-coding RNA is filed under the name Mus musculus (house mouse). The record is from RNAcentral. Lineage: Eukaryota; Metazoa; Chordata; Mammalia; Rodentia; Muridae.